Non-coding RNA from Picea glauca (white spruce), 123 nucleotides. Lineage: Eukaryota; Viridiplantae; Streptophyta; Pinopsida; Pinales; Pinaceae. The record is from Rfam.
CAUUAUGUACAUUCCUGCAAAAUUAAUGCACCUAAUCCCAUCCUAAAUACACAAUUAAGAACACUUGGGAUAUAUUAGUACUGGGAUGGGUGACCUCUUGGGAAGUCCUAUUGUUUUACAUGU